CGCUGCAGCACAGAGUUGGGUGGGCACCAUACAUGGCCGUGGCGCCUGCGGCCCCAGCUCGCGGCCUCGGGCUCGCUCUCAGGGCCCCAUCCUUCUGGUGCGCGGGGCUCUGGAGCCAGAAAGUGUACACAGGCCAUAAAUUUCCAGCCCCGCUCGGAGCAGCUCUCAGAGGUCAGGGGCCGCCCGCCUGCAACCGCCUCUGUGCGCCUGCCCCUUAACUUGCGUCCGGGUAACUGUGGUCGGCAGCAAAGCGCAGCUGGUGCCCUCUGCAGCGCCCAGCCAGACUUCAACGCCACCUCCUCGCCGCUGCUAGACUACCCUAGCAGCGUCGGGACUCUGGGCAGUUUUCGGGAGGCUCCCCACCGCUGCCCACGAGGCGGGAGUUGCGGAAUCAAGCAAAGCGGGAAGAAGGCGAGGCCUGGGGGAGGCCAGAGGAUUACCGCAGACGGCCAGUUCGGAGAUUGGAGUAAGAAACGCGGAUUUCUGUCGGGGGCUCCGCCACGCCCCUUACCCACCAAGCACCUUGAUCAAAUUAUCCAAUCCCUCUGCUUCUCAAAAUAGCCUUCUAUAAGUGAGGAAGAAUAAUGUCUUCGGGCCUGAGUCGCUGUGAUGGUUACAUGAGAUACAAAACUUUCACCUCUUGUCCAAGAGUGGCAAAGACUUGACUGUCUUUCCUCCAUUCCUUACUUGCACACACCCAUAGGUGAUUUCAAACGAGUAAAGACGCUCUCUCCAGCCAGAAUGAACUAGCAGUGUCAUCGUGGAAAUUGUUUAAUAAAAAUUUUCACUUAAUGCGUGCUUUCUGUUUGCCAGAACUCUGUCUGUGACUGUGCCUGGUAUCACAUAUGCGCCCCCAACCUAAAAACUGCCUCCGAUUUGCUGAGCGAACUGAGGAGAAGAAAAUGGGAAGGCAUAAUCGGAGAGCUGAAGAAGACACAGGGAGGCGGGAUGGGUCUCCUCACCACCAUUCCUCAGCAAUGAGGAAAGCAAAAGAGAAGUAACAGGAAAGAGGUGGGAAAGAAAGUUUCCCGUCGGUAAAACGUUUAGCUUGGAGGGUGUGCGUCAGAGCGCCUUCAGGUACUUCCACCUGGAGAAGCUUGACAGUCCCCAGCCCAGAACCACCCCAGAAUGUAAUAGAGACUCAAUAUGCACAUGUGUAGAUGAGUAACAUAGAGGCUGUGAGUGGCCCUUCUGUCCCCAGCAUGUCACCCUUGGCUCUGAGCAAUGCUUUUGAGGGGGAUGAGACUUUUGUGGGCUUUUAAAAAAAUUAUGCAGAUCUAUUCUAAUUUUUAAAAAUCGCUGCCUUUCGUUACAUUUUGGCUAAUACACUGUCCUCCAUCACCUCUGGAGCUGCUUGGUCUCCCUAUCAUUCCUUGUCUCAGGUCACACACUCUGUCCUCCUUGUCCUCCACGGUGGUCAUCCGGAACCAAGCCAGGAGAGUCCAGUUCCCCUUAAAAUUCUGAACGGAUUCUUGAACAGUACCAAGAGGAAAGGAAGGCCAGGGCACAAUGAGCAGAGAGGAAAAAACGAAAAGAGAAAUGGUGAGGACAGCAAAGCAAGGGAGCCUGAAGACCAAUGGACAUGGGAAAACUCAAAUUGCAGGUGACAUUCCAUUUAAAAAUUGUGUGUCACUGAGAAAGUCUUUAGUUUGAUUCUUCCUUUAUAGUUUUGACCCCCUUUUUUUCAGCUGCAAAACUGUGCUGUUGGCCUAGAAGAGUAGUUAGCACAGGCCACAGGGACCUGAGGGAAGUAAGGAAAACCGGACAUGGCUUAGAUCGCUGCUGGUGACCCAAAGUGGCCCCAAAGACAUGUCUCCUGGGCGUUCCGGACCGGCAACCGAUUGGCAAAGAGAUAAGCUUGGGGAAGGUAGGAGCCAGGGGCCCCGCGCUGACCCUGGACUGAAUGAAUGUUCAGCUGGCAGGUUGGGGAUCCAACCUGCGGAAGACCCAGGACCUCUGCUAGGGAGACAUCUGCUAGACCCAAAGCCAUUGCGAAAGGGGUGAGAACCUGUGACCCCCAAAGGUAGGACACUUCGGAGCGAGAUCUGCGCCCCAGACCAGGAGAGCCCGGCUGCGUGGGGUCUCAGGAACACGUCUUUGGAGGGCGUGCACAGCCCGCCAUUCGCCACGUUGUGAAAUUCAAAAAUGGCCUGAUUGCUCUGACGGGUGCAAGUCGGGACUGCCAGAUAGAGGAUCCUAUUCGCUUGCUAGUUCAUUCUUUUGAUUUUUCGUUCACUUGCUCAUUUCUUGAGUUUCUACCUCGUGCUGGGUGCACUCGUCUGCCCGGAUUCUGAGAAACAAAACAAACAACCCUGACGUAUUAAAACGAGGCUGAAAUGUGCAGACCGGGAAAUCCCUAGCCGAGGACGGUGGGGAUUGAGGGUGGCUAGGGAACUCCGCGAAACAGACACUUUUGCUCCGCAGAGAGGCGGCAAGGUGCAGACUCACUAAGACCAACUCACCUAGCAUUCUCACCCACUGUGCGUGCGGUGCUCUUCCGUGUUCCAGGAGAGGCUCGGGCAGAUCUUAGCGCUCCGCACCGCCGCCUGAGUGAGGGACUGGAGAAAGCACAGAAAGCUUUGGACUACUGUCCCGGUUCUUGACGUUAACCACUAGGGAGGUGACCUUGAGUGAGUCAUUCAACCUCUCUACGAGUUGGUUUCCACCUACAACGAUGACCAAAUGGUGUGCGGACAAGCUUUCUUUUGUGAACGCGUUCUCUUGCCCCUCUGUGAUGACCUUAGUUCGGGAUCCUAAUGAGUCCUCAACCAGGUGAUUCGCAGCUCCAUCUCCACCCCGGGGGCUACCACCUGGUACUUCCAGGUCGUGUUGAACAGCCUCCACCUGUAUUUAUAAUGCUAACUACGCUUAUCCUUGCUAUAAAUAACCACAAGAGCCACAAUAAUUACACUUGUCAUUUAUUUAGUAAACACUUUUGGGGUGCAUUCCCUGUGCCAAGCACUGUGCUAGGUGCUACAGCUUCUCCAGCCGUGCAGCAGACCCAGCCCUGCUCUCAAGAACCCUAGGGGGCCUUUUUCCUCUAAAGGAAUCGUUAAUCUCCUGUUUCCAUUUCGAGGGCCCUCCCUCAUUGUGAUUACUUAAAAACUUAAUAAAACUCGUGAAGUGCUGUUUGUCCCAACAUAAUCUCAACAGCAGGAACAGAAUUUUCCCUUCUGGUCCCCUAGACAGUUACUUAAGCUUCCUUCAAAUCCUAAGUUUCAGAAAACCAACUUCUUCCUUCUAACUCCCAAAAUUAAGUCCCUGCCACACCCACAAGCAUUGUAUUAACUGCCUGCGGUGAAAUUUGUAAAUGGAGGUGCUCCUGUGCACAGUGCCUAGAGCAUCAAGAUGAAGAGGUCCUGGGCUUCUAAAAGUACCAAACCCUGACCUAGCCAGGCAGCAUGUUCUAACCCCUCUGGGCUACUCCUUAAAUGAUUUAUUGGUGACAAGCCAUCCUCAUUCUCAUCUAACGAUUUAAUUAUGUGGAGAGUAAAGGUUGUCUUGCAUUCUUUUUUUUUCCUCUGCUGUGCAAACACUCACAAGGAUCCCAAUAAAUACUGCAUGAGAAAAACGAAUGGAUGAAGGAAUGCAGUAACAUCUAGCCUGUAUAGAACUAAUUGUAUACCAGCCACUGUUCUCAUUUUGCUUUGUUGUUGUUGUUGUUCUGUAAUUACGUCUUAUGGCGAUUUAUGAGUUAGGUACCUUUGAUUAUAUCUCAUUAUACAGUGAAAACAAACCAAAUGAUUAGAUGAAUUUCCCAAGGUCAUGUAGUUAGUUAUUGGUAAGUGGGUGAAUGAAUGAAUGAAGGCCUCUGGGGUUAGUUCAGGUCUCCUAUGCUGGAUUGGGAUCAGGCCCGCUUUUUCCUGCACACUCCACUCUCUACUCCACCUGCUGGUCUCCUCGAAUAAAUCCCCCCAACCCAGAGAGUCAUUGAGGAUCUCCAGUGAGGCAAGUUCGGAGCACAGAUCAGGUGAUGCUGCCACAGCCAGCCUCUUUCUGGUUCCUUGUCUGUUGCAUGGGGUGUACUGUGCUAGAGAGUGAGGCCUACUAUCUGCUGCGGCUAGAGGAAGAGAGAAGGAGCCAGCUCAGAGGCUGCCAGGCAGGUGCGAUUGGGCCUCGAGUUCCACAUCCUUCCCAGAAUCCCAAGUGUCAGCAAUGACC
Callithrix jacchus (white-tufted-ear marmoset) is the source of this 4161-nucleotide long non-coding RNA. The record is from Ensembl. NCBI's taxonomy places the organism in Eukaryota, Metazoa, Chordata, Mammalia, Primates, Cebidae.